Molecule: ribosomal RNA, 253 nt
Filed under: uncultured bacterium
Lineage: Bacteria
Description: partial 16S ribosomal RNA
Rfam family: Bacterial small subunit ribosomal RNA
Source: RNAcentral
UACGGGAGAGGCAAGCGUUGUUCGGAAUCACUGGGCUUAAAGCGCGUGUAGGCGGCUGGGUAAGUACUUUGUGAAAUCCCUUCUCUCAAUGUGGGGACUGCUUGGUAUACUGCCCGGCUUGAGGUAGGUAGAGGUGCCUGGAACUCUAGGUGGAGCGGUGAAAUGCGUAGAUAUCUAGAGGAACGCCCGUAGCGAAAGCGGGGCACUGGGCCUGUCCUGACGCUGAGACGCGAAAGCGUGGGGAGCAAACGGG